GGGCCUGAGCCCGGUCCUGGGGGUGCGCACAGCGCCGGCGCCCCGAGCUCGGCCGGGCUGCGGGCAGCCGAGCAACCUGUGCCUCUUGCAGUCCCGCAGCACUGCGGAGCGAGUUGUCCGCAGCGUCCUGUGCUGGGCCUGCUGGCGCUUGGCGGCGCCUAAGCCUGCAGGCCCGGGGCCGCCGCCCCCAGCCCCGGAGGGGAUCAGCGUCCUGGGGCCAGCCUGGCCCCGGGCGGCCUGUGCCCCUUCCCGCCCCGCCCCGCGUGCUCCUCUUCCUCCAAGAAUGGCUUCUGGGCGCAGUUGGGAUCUUGUUGCGGGUGGGAAUUGGGCCCAUGGGCUGGGGGGGGCCCUGUGGGUGGUGCCAGGCCUGCCGUCCCCCCUGCGUGUCCCGGGUCCCUUGCAGCAUCUCUGUGUAAUGCCCCCCGACUACGUUUUGUCACAACCUAUUGACUAAAUGCCUCUGGCACAGCGGGAAGUCCCAGCACAGCAAAAAGCCCCGCCAAGUUCAAUGGCUGCAAUCGUUUAAGUUUCAACAAGUCCUCGUGAUUGGCUGACCAUGCGCGCCACCCAUUGGCCGGUUACAAGUCAAUCCCACUUGGCAACUAGUAAUUGGCUUACUAGCUAUAUCACAGUAAAAGCCGUUUCCGCCCUCAUCGGAGAACUGCGCACGCGUCUCGGAGUAAACUUAGCGGACUGAUCACCCGCCAACAACUCCCCGUCACCGACUUUCCUGACGUACUCCGUCCCUGGUACCACGAUCAGCCGAUUACGAGCGUCUCGUCUCGUCUCGUCUCGUCUCGUCUCGCGUUCCAGAGAGCACUCGCUGCGUUUGUAACUGCAACUGCGGUGGGAGAGAACUCCCUGGGGUUCAUUGUCUAGCUGCACAGGAACCAGACAGCCACGGGUAAAGUAUUAACAGCCGUUUAUUUGCUCGAGCGAAGACCGUAAAGCCAGCAAAAGGCAAAAUGGCCCCCUCCAAAGGGUGGGGCGUUCUUUUAUACUUUUUCCAGCAAGGCAACACUACAGGGUUAACAAAAGCAAUACCUGGGCGGUGCUUCACAAAUCUUUAUAACAGCAUAUUUCUAUUAAGCUGAACUAGCACUUUUUAAAAGCUAAAAGUUACGUAACAGUAACAGUAUGAUAGGUUAGCAAGAACUUGCGGUGGUAGAUACUUCUGAAGGACACGAUCACUGUACUUAGAACAACGGCUUCUUCGUCUUAUCUUGCUUCGUGCUGUAGCUGAUUUUCCGGCACACAGACACGGAUCCGCUUGUUGCAUUUUACUCAGAAAAUGCUUAACACAGUUAAAAUGAUUACUUGACACAAGCAAAGGCUUAGCUAUCAUUCUGCCCUGUGGUCAGCGGCAUUGCUAGGCCACAGGUCAUGCCUUGUAUUCAGCUGCAAAGCUAAUACUUCUUAAUAAUCCAAAUGAUUGUUAACCUAACAGUGUGCUAUCAGAAAACUAUUCUAUUUCAGGGUAAUAACAAACGUGCUCACCACACAACCAAUUCAGCGUUCUGCCUGCGCUGCGCGCAUCCGCGGCGUAAAUAAACAAUCUUUUUACCAAUACGCAUCCGUGCCUAAUUCCGCUCCAUUCGCCAAAGUACCCACCUGGCGCUCCGGGCUACCGGCCAUAGCCCGGCAAGUCGGCCGGCCACCGCAUGGCGUCACGAACAGGAUCCAGGGAAGGAGCAAUGGAGUUGGGAUUAGUUAAAGGCUACCCCCUUCCCAGUGGGGUGCGCGUAACGUCUGAUUCAGGUGACCGAUGGGGCCACGUUACAUAUCGUCAGGCAGGAUGGGAAGGGACACCCCAGGACAAGUUUAACUGUCCGACUCUGGCACCCCAGUCGCGCGGCCACGAACUGCUAACCCAGCUCUGUGAUAAUUUAGAAGCGAAGGGCCGCACCACAGCAAGGUGGACAGGCCCCGAAUGGGACAAAGGGAAAAUGAUUAAUGUACUGUUCCGCACAGUUUUGCUCCUACUACGCGAAAAUACAAACUUAGAAACCCAGCUAGCCACGGUCAGCAAAGCUGCCGUGGAAAUGGCAGCGCAGCACAGCCCCGAGCCACCGCUCGAAAAUGGCGCCAAGGAAAAGGGGAAGUGCUCAGAAAGCCCGGAAGAGAAGGGGGAAGAGGGCGGCGCCACGAAAGGCUGGGUGGGAACACAGCCAAUGGCCCCGCCCCCUUAUUGCGGGGGGGGAACCACCGGGCGGGAACCGGUAUCCAACCUUCCCGCUGGGUACGCUGACACCCCCGGCAGCCGCUCAACCCAAAAGCCCAGCCGGCACGCCGAGCCAUCCCACUGAGCGCCCGGUCGAGUACCAAAGGCCGAGACAUCACCAACCUGACCCUCGAAGAGCAUCGAAACUGCCACCCCAGAGGACGCCAGAGGAGAGAGCCAUGUUUGGCUUCCUCCUGAACCACUCCAAACUCGCUAAACAACAGCUACGCGUCUUGGGAGAUGCAGGACAACGACAGCUGGCAAAGGGGUUGGGCUUCCGAUAUGUUAAAAAGAUAGAACCCAAAUAACCGCCGCUGGCCAGGCCAGCGGAAACACCUGUCAACCUGGCCUGGCGGACCCUCGCCUUGUACGAAACUCGUUGUAGAAACUGCUACCAACCCACGCCCUGCAACACUUCCACAUGGCGCUACGACCCUACCCCGACUGCAGAUCACCUGCAGGGGGCACUAACGGACUUUCUCCGACGCUUUCAACAGCAAAGUGUACCCACGCCAAUUACGACAGCAAGUCUACGAAAACCCAAAUUUACUGCUCUUGGUUUUCCCUUACGGGUCUGGAACCCAAGACGCACGACGGUCGUAGACCCACACCGAAGGGAAGAGCAACACCGCGAACACUGAGACGCCGACGCGUGACGUUACCAUGACACCUGACCACACCGUCAUACUCAGACUUCUCGUAAUUAGCUCAAUCCUAUUAACUCUCUCAGCAGAUGUAGAAACCCGCACGCUUCCAAAUGUCUCAAUACCCUUAAAUAAAAAAAUUGAGUCAAUGCGAAAAAUGGCCGCCAACACGAACAAAAUCUCAGGUAUCGGACAAGGGUGGCUAUCUGACCUAUUCAAUUGGUUUGGCUGAGACGCAUCCUCAUGGUUUUUACACCUCUUAACCCCCCUUAUUACCUUGUUAAUGCCUCUUUUUAGUAUUGGUAUUUGUGUAUGUGUUAGUUGUUGUUUUAUACAAUACCUUAAAAACAAACUUAUUUCGCUAUCUGCUUUUGUAUAUACCCGCUUGCCAUAUGAACCCCCCGAACAAGACGACAAAGACGUAAUCGGCUUAUAGCAUAAUAGUUCCGACUGUGCCAUCGGCAAGGGGGCAUGUCAGAACCCAUUGACUAAAUGCCUCUGGCACAGUGGAAAGUCCUAGCACAGCAAAAAGCCCCGCCAAGUUCAAUGGCUGCAAUCGUUUAAGUUUCAACAAGUCCUCGUGAUUGGCUGACCAUGCGCGCCACCCAUUGGCCAGUUACAAAUUAAUCCCACUUGGCAACUAGUAAUUGGCUUUCUAGCUAUAUAAAAGUAAAAGCAGUUUCCGCCCUCGUUGGAGAACUCCGCAUGCAUCUCGGAGUAAACUUGGCGGACUGAUCACCCACCAACAGCUCCCCGUCACCGUCUUUCCUGACGUACCCCUUCCCUGAUACAGCUGAUUACGAACGUCUCGUCUCGUCUCGUCUCGUCUCGCCUCGAUACCUUCUCGCAUUCCAGAGAGCACUCGCCAGGUUUGUAACUGCAACCAAAGUCAACGUUGUGCCUGCGCUGCGCGCAUCAGCGGCACUUUGACCAAAGCCUGGAAACUGCUGGAGGCUUUUUCACCAAUCACCAUCUUCCUUUUUGCCUCGAUUUAUUUUGGACUCUGUCACCAGUUACGUGCCAUUUUUCACAAUCCAGUCUGUUUUUCAGUCCCAGUUGUACCAUCUCCACGUUCCUAAGACCCCUGUAUCUUACCUGGUUACUUACUACAGCUGGUUCAUACCAGCCUUCGUUCAACCAUUACUCCCACCUCAGCCACAGCACACAGACUUACGCAGGCUCACUCCCUGCUUUUUCAGAAAAUGGUUGACACAGUUAAGAUGGUUAUUUAGCAUAAGUGAACGGCUUGCUUAGCAUAAGCAUUCAUAAGCAAAAUCAUAGCGUGAGUACAACAUGUUUUGAACAAUAAUGGCAUAUUCCAAAACAUGUUUCAACACCAGCUACUAGAAAUGCCUCCAGCAGAUAUAGCCCAUGCUGGCAGCAGUGGCCACUACCACAAAGAACAAGGGCGGCAAGAGGAAACUCAGCAAGGGGACAGCCACACCAGUCACCGUAUCCAGCACCUACGGGACAGGGAAGAGCUGGUUACUGGAGCUGGUGGCAAUGAGGACCCUCCCCACACUGCCCGAGCCCCCCGGCUGGCAUUGGGGCCUUGCAGAGGCACCUCCUGCAGCUGCAGGCCAGCACAGCCCGCGGGCCCAUGCACGCUCGCCCCUGGGCUGGCACAUACCUGGUGGCUGAUGCUCCGGCCAUAGCGCAGCUUGGUGACAAACUGCUCGCAGUUCUGGAGGAAAACAUUGUACCAUAUCUUCCUGCCCGCCUCUGCCUCUCCCUUGGCCAGAAUCUCCUCCACCGGCUGCGGGGUGCGUUUGCUGUCGUACUUGUUCACGCAGUACUUGUCACCCCCGAGGAUGUCACGGAGACGCUCCUUCUUCACCACAGCCCAGGAGGGUGCUAGGCCUCCAGUUCCUCAACUCUUCCCGUGGACCUUUCCUGUGCACGAGGGUCGCGAGGCAGCAGUGGUGGCUGUGUGGUAGAGUUUCUGCCUACCACGUGGCAGAUCGUGUGGCAUCUCGGCGGUGGAAGCAGGGGGAGCUACCAAGGAGGAGUACACCUGCAUGGCCCGCACUUGCGGGCAGGCAGGGUGAAAAGCCAAAGCAGCUGCAGAGCUGAGGCUGGCAACACAAGUUAGACAAGAAAAAGUCUGUGUUUAGGGCUCAGGAUAACUCUGCUAAGGGGCUCUUAGACGGGCAUCCGAGGGACACCAGCCCCCCAGCUGUCGGCGCUGGCUUGGUGCAGAGUCGCUUGGAUGGACCGGAUGUGUUCAAGUCGGCCGGCCCGGAUGGGCUGCAUCCGAGGGUACUGAAGGACUCGGCCCGUGUCAUAGCAGAACCGCUGGCACGGCUGUUUGAGCGCUCGGGCCAGGUCCCGGAGGACUGGAAAGGGGCCAACGUGGUCCCUAUUUUCAAGAAGGGGAGGAAGGAGGACCUGAGUAAUUACAGGCCAGUCAGUCUCGCCUCCAUCCUUGGAAAGGUCUUUGAAAAGAUCAUGAAGGAUCGUAUUUGUGGGAGCCCAGCAGGAAUAAUAAUGCAGCGGGGAAGCCGGCAUGGGUUCGUAGCACGGGGAUUGUGCCUGACCAACCUGGUUUCGUUUUAUGCCAGGGUCACAAAGGCUCAGACGCAGGAGUAGAGGUGGAUGUCGUUUUCUUGGACUUAAGCAAGGCCUUCGAGAUGGUAGCUCAUCCUAGUCUGAUCAAUAAAUGAAGAGGCCGUGACGUACGUGCUUACACGGUCUGGUGGGUGGCAGAUUGGCGUAGUGGUCACACCCAGAGUGGUAGUAGACGGGUCGGUAUCGACCUGGAUGGAUGUGGGUAGUGGGGUCCCGUGGGGUUGAGUGUGUCCAGACCUGAUCCUGGCAGUCCAGACCUCAUCGCAUUGUGGGGGGGAGACCU
Long non-coding RNA from Alligator mississippiensis (American alligator), 5716 nucleotides. RefSeq lists it as uncharacterized. The transcript has 3 exons. Lineage: Eukaryota; Metazoa; Chordata; Crocodylia; Alligatoridae. The record is from RefSeq and is a predicted model, not a curated record.